CUGACCGCCGAGCUUCUUGAC
RNAcentral lists this non-coding RNA (21 nucleotides) under Arabidopsis thaliana (thale cress). The record is from RNAcentral. Lineage: Eukaryota; Viridiplantae; Streptophyta; Magnoliopsida; Brassicales; Brassicaceae.